Molecule: long non-coding RNA, 542 nt
Organism: Eucalyptus grandis
Lineage: Eukaryota; Viridiplantae; Streptophyta; Magnoliopsida; Myrtales; Myrtaceae
Exons: 3
Source: RefSeq, a predicted model, not a curated record
GUCAGGGUUCGAACAUUGUUCGACCCGAAACAAGUUUUCUAAAGUCCAAACACGCCAAAACACAAAAACACAAACGCUUUAGGCUUUAGCCCCAAAAACACGAACAGUCGAACACAACCUCGUCGGCUCCGCCUUCUUCUCCGACGAGUGCGCCUUCUCGUGGAGUCCAUUGCCGCCCUCCGAUCGACGCGCCUCCGCCUUGCCGUCGCCGUCGCCACCCCUCGCCUCCGCCUCGCCGACGCCGGAACCCUUGCCGCCUCGUGCGGCCAACCAUCGUCGACAGCUCGGGGACAGGGUUUGCUCGGCGAUCAUGGCGCUCGCUUCUCGCCUCGUUUCCAAGUCCCGGCAGGUUAAAAGUUAAGUUGAAGCAGCUAGUUGAGCAGUAUUUGCUUUCUGAACAACAUCAUGAACAUGAGGGAAGUCUCGGGGACAUCAAGUCAAACCUUGUGAGGCCAAUCAAAUGGUAAACUGGCAUAGUCCUACUAUGAAGCUCAUCUUUUAGAAGAACAAGAUGUGAUCCAAGAUAUCAUUCUGUCUGUGUU